This 372-nucleotide ribosomal RNA is filed under the name uncultured organism. Its description in RNAcentral is "bacterial SSU rRNA". It matches the Rfam family "Bacterial small subunit ribosomal RNA", at positions 526 to 896 of the family's 1533-position model. The record is from RNAcentral.
CGAGUGCCCCGAGCGUUAUCCGGAAUUAUUGGGCGUAAAGGGUGUGUAGGUGGCCGCGUUAGUCUUCUGUUAAAGCUCCCGGCUUAACCGGGAAAAUGCAGAGGAAACGGCGCGGCUAGAGGAUGUGAGAGGUUUGCGGAACUCAUGGUGUAGGGGUGAAAUCCGUUGAUAUCAUGGGGAACACCGAAAGCGAAGGCAGCAAACUGGCGCAUUCCUGACACUGAAACACGAAAGCGUGGGUAGCGAAGAGGAUUAGAUACCCUCGUAGUCCACGCCCUAAACGAUCUUCUCUGGCUAUUUGGAGUAUCGACCCUCUAAGUGGCGAAGCUAACGCGUUAAGAGAAGCGCCUGGGUAGUACGAUCGCAAGAUUA